GAACAGAAAACAAAUUUCGGACGUACAUGCAAGUUUGAUAAGACUCACAAUGCAAGGGUAAUUUAACUUAAUCCCCCUGCCACUAUGGUGUAAAAACAAGUAAAAUUGUGAGCUUCUGCUCACUGAUGAUACCCCCGCCGCAAGUUGAUAAUAUUAAUAGUGUAAAAAUAUGCAAGUGUUUGGUAAACAGGAAGUUGUCGAGUGAUGAAUCUGAAAACACAUCACACCGUAUAGCUGACUUAUAUUAAUCCUUUAACCAAAUUUCAGAAAUCCUUGUUUUGUAGUUCCUGAGAAAAAUGUGACGAAAAUUUUGAACUUGGCU
Molecule: long non-coding RNA, 322 nt
Filed under: Mytilus galloprovincialis (Mediterranean mussel)
Lineage: Eukaryota; Metazoa; Mollusca; Bivalvia; Mytilida; Mytilidae
Source: RNAcentral